GAAAAUCAAAUUCAUUUUUUUUUUUCACAGAAAUCAUCAUUGGCAUCUCACCAGAAAUCUAAUGGAGCAAUAAUCAACUCAAAAACAAAACAAACACACACCACCAACCAAGCAAGAUAAAACAAUAAAGCCAACAAAAGUAAUAAAAGUGAUACACAUAUCUACUCUCACCCCCCUCCCCCAAACUUAUUACAGAACAUAAGUUCGAAAAUAAGUUUGGAGGGAUGAUGAUAUGUGUGUCACUACUCACAGAAACACAUGCUCCAAGGUGGUAGUAGGGACAAGGCGCGAGUUCCCGCAUCUUCCAAACUCAACACUGCACCAAACUCUCAAACAAAACAAAGAAAACAAAGGAACAAAAAGAAACAAAAAGAACGAAAAACAAAACAAAGAAGAAAAAUAGUUGGGUUACCUCCCAACAAGUGCUUAAUUUAACGUCUAGAGCUCGACGAUACCUCAUGUUCUCAAUGAACAUCAAACACAGCGGGCGUGACAGAACGCUUAACACGAACAGAGGUAGAAGACCCAUGCGCAUCAGCUGCGUGAAAGACGACGCUUCCAUUGGGCACAUCUAUCAUAGCCCUCCCCGUAGCUAAGAAUGAUCGACCAAGAAUCAACGGCGG
RNAcentral lists this long non-coding RNA (623 nucleotides) under Salvia miltiorrhiza (redroot sage). RNAcentral describes it as "long non-coding RNA (SMIL_LNC009802)". The record is from RNAcentral. Lineage: Eukaryota; Viridiplantae; Streptophyta; Magnoliopsida; Lamiales; Lamiaceae.